This 492-nucleotide ribosomal RNA is filed under the name uncultured bacterium. RNAcentral's name for it is "partial 16S ribosomal RNA". It matches the Rfam family "Bacterial small subunit ribosomal RNA", at positions 29 to 507 of the family's 1533-position model. The record is from RNAcentral.
AGUGAACGCUGGCGGUAGGCCUAACACAUGCAAGUCGAACGGCAGCACAGUAAGAGCUUGCUCUUACGGGUGGCGAGUGGCGGACGGGUGAGGAAUACAUCGGAAUCUACUUUUUCGUGGGGGAUAACGUAGGGAAACUUACGCUAAUACCGCAUACGACCUACGGGUGAAAGCAGGGGAUCUUCGGACCUUGCGCUAUUGAAUGAGCUGAUGUCGGAUUAGCUAGUUGGCGGGGUAAAGGCCCACCAAGGCGACGAUCCGUAGCUGGUCUGAGAGGAUGAUCAGCCACACUGGAACUGAGACACGGUCCAGACUCCUACGGGAGGCAGCAGUGGGGAAUAUUGGACAAUGGGCGCAAGCCUGAUCCAGCCAUACCGCGUGGGUGAAGAAGGCCUUCGGGUUGUAAAGCCCUUUUGUUGGGAAAGAAAAGCAGCAGGUUAAUACCCCGCUGUUCUGACGGUACCCAAAGAAUAAGCACCGGCUAACUUCGUG